Long non-coding RNA from Neofelis nebulosa (Clouded leopard), 1784 nucleotides. RefSeq lists it as uncharacterized. Lineage: Eukaryota; Metazoa; Chordata; Mammalia; Carnivora; Felidae. The transcript is spliced from 3 exons. The record is from RefSeq and is a predicted model, not a curated record.
UUUUUAUCACAGUUUUGUCCAAUACCUCUGGAACGCAUCCACGUCCGUUUUCUGGAUGAUGGAUUCGCAUCCCAAACCCACCGGAAACUAGGAGCUUUAUUGUAAUUUUCAGUAUCAUUCCCUCAACAGAUACUGGCUGAAUAUGUUCUACCUGUAGGCACUGGACUGUCUUCUGAGGACAAAGCCCUGAGUAAAAGUGAACGUGGCGUCUGCCCUCAUGCAGUUGAAAUCAAGCCAGCAAAACACACAUCCGUCACAUCAGCACGCAGCAAAACAGAAAAUUCUGACUGAUGCAGGUGCUGUGAAGAAAUACAAGGAGCUAUGAGCGUUUAAAGUAGGGGAUAGGAUCAAGCCAAAGAAAGAUGUCCCAAGAAAUAGUAAAAGCAAUACGUAUUGAAAACUCACUACGAACUAUGGUUCAGAGCACUUAGACAUAUUUUUUUCUCUUCAGCCACAUGAGACGGGGAUCGUCUAUUAUUAUGCCCACUCUAGAGAUGAGAAGGCUGAGGCAGAGACUCUCGAGUCGAGAGCUGAACUUGGAAUGCGCUCAGCCAAGAUAGGCAAGGUUAUGCUCUGCCACCAAGAAUCCCCCAAAUAUGAAAGUGUACUCCUUGCCUCCAUAUUUCAGGAGGGGAGAAUAAUCCAGAUGUAGGUGUCAUCGCAUGCGAAGACCUCGCUCGUGGAUGGAGCCUGGGCAGGAUUGCAAAGCAGGGGGGACGACAGGUCUGGAGCAGACCAGGAGCAGACCUGGAGACCGGCAAGGCUUCCCUCCCCACAAUCACAGGGGAGUCUGUGCGGCGUCCCAAGAGCACCACUAGAAUCAUGCAGAACCUAACAGCUAUACCACAGCAAGCAAUUCAUCUGAGGCCGACCCACUGUUCGGGAAGAGACCGCCUCCACGCUUGAGACCUCCAAGCCAACUUACUUCGCAUUGAAAUUUCCUUCUUCUUUGCCUUCUCAUUAUAAAGGCUGACGCAUAAUUUAACCAAAGUUUUCCUCCAGCGGCAAUCGUUCUAUCUUGCUGGGUCAUCCCCAAAUUGCGAAGGCACAACUGACGGCCAUAAUAUGCUUUGACGAACUUCCAUCCCCCCUGCCCCCGAGAACUUUCUAUCAAAGAAGUGGUUGAGUUAUUCGGAAGUUGAAAACUACUGAGAGAAGAACACAUGCAAGACACAGCCGGGCGGACCCAGUGUGCGUGGAGGAUGAGGAGUAAGUUACUGUGGUUUACGAUCCUGCAGGGUAAGAAGUGGCAGGAGAUGGGCUACAAAAGGAAUAUUAUGUUCCAAUUAUGAUAGCUCUUAGGCAGCAAGGAUUUGGAUUUCAUCCAGCAAGCAGCAGGAAAGAAUCAAUGGACAUUUUUGUCAAGAGAUAGUAUCCACUUUGUUGUUUAGAAGAAAAAAGAAACACACACACACACACACACACACACACACACACAAGGUCCGGUGAUGUUACAGAAAAAAAUUAACCGACGGAAAGAGGAAAACCGUUGCGCUCAUCAGAACAAGAGGUGAUGUGACCUAGUGUAAGGCAGUGGGAGCAUGUGAAUGGAAAGGAGGAGCCUUAGUUUGGUACCAUUUCUGAGACCAAGGGAUGGCGGUACUUAGCAUUCUAUUGAUGUGAUAGACGGUAGCAAAGGGUUUAAAGUGGAUGGAUAAUAGCUUCUGUCACCCAAAGAGGUCAGAGAAAAGAACAGAUGUUGCCAGUCUCUACAUUUUAUUUUAGCUAUAAUGCAUCUGAAAUUCUUAAGGAUUCUCCAAGAGGAGAUGCCUGUAGAGAGUUGA